RNAcentral lists this transfer RNA (68 nucleotides) under Marmota marmota marmota (Alpine marmot). It matches the Rfam family "tRNA". Rfam says of the family: Transfer RNA (tRNA) molecules are approximately 80 nucleotides in length. The record is from Rfam by way of RNAcentral. RNAcentral also lists the same sequence under 2 other names. Lineage: Eukaryota; Metazoa; Chordata; Mammalia; Rodentia; Sciuridae.
GGGGCUGUAGCUCAGUGGCAGAGUACUUGCCUAGCAUGUAUGAGAUACUGGUUCAAUCCUCAGCACCA